This 570-nucleotide ribosomal RNA is filed under the name uncultured bacterium. RNAcentral's name for it is "bacterial SSU rRNA". It matches the Rfam family "Bacterial small subunit ribosomal RNA", at positions 105 to 684 of the family's 1533-position model. The record is from RNAcentral.
GGUGAGUAAUACGUGAGUGACCUACCUUUGACUCUGGGAUAAGCCUGGGAAACUGGGUCUAAUACCGGAUACGACCAAUCUCCGCAUGGGGUGUUGGUGGAAAGCGUUAUGGAGUGGUUUUAGAUGGGCUCACGGCCUAUCAGCUUGUUGGUGAGGUAAUGGCUUACCAAGGCGACGACGGGUAGCCGGCCUGAGAGGGUGACCGGCCACACUGGGACUGAGACACGGCCCAGACUCCUACGGGAGGCAGCAGUGGGGAAUAUUGCACAAUGGGCGCAAGCCUGAUGCAGCGACGCCGCGUGAGGGAUGACGGCCUUCGGGUUGUAAACCUCUGUUAGCAUCGAAGAAGCGAAAGUGACGGUAGGUGCAGAGAAAGCGCCGGCUAACUACGUGCCAGCAGCCGCGGUAAUACGUAGGGCGCGAGCGUUGUCCGGAAUUAUUGGGCGUAAAGAGCUUGUAGGCGGUUGGUCGCGUCUGCUGUGAAAGGCUGGGGCUUAACCCUGGUUUUGCAGUGGGUACGGGCUAACUAGAGUGCAGUAGGGGAGACUGGAAUUCCUGGUGUAGCGGUGG